UCUUUUCAGUCAUACAUGAGUUGACUCCUGACGUAAAAUCUCAGAUUUUCUGGUUUAUACAUGUGCAUGGAUGUGACAUUAGGAGUAAAUUAUCUGGUUGAAAGGUAGCAUUAAGCCUCCUGGGAAAAGAAUAGCUUUGAAAAUUUUGUGUCAGCUCCAAAAGUAAGAGGUUUUUGGAUAUUACUCUUAUAUUUCUAAUCUUGUAGAACUCUAAUCUUAUGCUUUUAGUAACUUGUAUUCUUUUGUCAGAAUAUUUAAAAAAAACUAUUCAAAAAGUUUAAGACUAAUUCCAGAGCUGCAACAAGCUGCUUUGACAAGUUACAGAAAUCACAAGAUAUGGUAGGAAACAACGUAAUCUACACAACAAAUUAUUCAACUUGCUGGUUAAUUUGGACUCUCCUUGAAGAUUUUUCAAGGAAUCAGCACACCUGCAGAUGCUAAAAGUACUGAUACAGGACUGCAUGAAACUGCUGGAGUACUUUCAGGGGCUUAUUUAUGUUUUUACCAUCUUGAAACAUGGUACGAUUGUUGAUGUUAUAUUGUGUAAGUAGGCUUUUAGCAUGCCUAUUGGAGCUUGCAGUCCUAUCUACUUUGGUCUUCCUGUGUUGCCUUGAAAAUGCUAGAUCUUGAUAGGAUGUAAAUUGGUUUAGGAUCCAAGAGGCACCUGCUGUCUUGCCUGUAUAUUAACUGUCAUGCUCUGUUUUUAUGAAUACUUACCCAAUCUGCUUUUUGCUUUAAAUGAAUCUUGUUACAUGACAAUUGUUGAUGAAAUAAUUGCCCAGUGUAAGCUCUGUUACGGAUCAUUCCUCUCAAGAGCUCGAUAGAAUUUUUCCCAUCUUAGUGUUAGUGUACAAUUUGGUAGCAGCUGUUCAAGAGCCUUGCAGGAACUUUUAUUAGAUGGGCAGAAGGGUGUAUCCCUUUUAGCUGAAUGACAUAACAGAUGAUCUUCUCUGCCUCUGAUUCUCCUACCUCACCUCUUCUGUUUCUUUCCAUGUCAGCAACAAUCCAGCCAUGCAGCCAGAAGACAGCUGCAAGUAGGAAGGAAAUGACCUUUAGCAAGAUAGUGUAGUGUAAUUGGAACUCCUCGUUUUGAAGCUGCAAAAUUAGUAUCCAUUGGCUGCAUUAAAUCGUAAAACAGUUGUGUAAGAAGUGAACCCAUGAUUCAGGUAUCCACCUUCGAUCACUUGGAACCCAAUCUGUGCAGGGACUCGUUGAAUACCGCAACCUUCUCCUCCUGGAACCCAAGACUUGAUUUUUCUACAAGGCAUUGAUUGGAAAUUGCAGCAUCAAGAUUGUCAACUGGUAGGCUAAUAACAGAAAAGUACCGCCACAACAAACAAAAACAAUAUAGGGAGAAGAUACCUGAGAAAAUGUAGAACUGAAAUUGGGACUUGUCGAGCCUAGGUUGAUGAGAUAAACAGUACCAAGGCCACCAUCUCCUUCAGAACUUCAACACUGCGCACUAUGUUGGAAGCCAUUUUUGGAAGGCAAAGCUCAUUUCUUUUGCAAAAGCCUCCAUGGUGCUUCAAUUCCGACCCCAGCCUUCACUUGGCUCUUUUCUUCCUUCAUCACUGGCUCGCUGCUAUUGUUUAGUUGAGUACAGUUAAACUAGAACAUUAGAAUACCUAUAAGUACAAAUUUGUAAUAGCUUAAAGGCACCAAAUGACCCCUGUGGCAUCUUUAGUUGUAUGGACAGUUAUUGAACCAAGAUGCCUAGGCCCUUCUAUGCCGUUACCAUAUUUUUCUAAUGCAACAAACAAAUAGUGAGACAAAACAAA
Molecule: non-coding RNA, 1778 nt
Organism: Coffea arabica (coffee)
Lineage: Eukaryota; Viridiplantae; Streptophyta; Magnoliopsida; Gentianales; Rubiaceae
Source: RefSeq, a predicted model, not a curated record